This 897-nucleotide ribosomal RNA is filed under the name uncultured marine archaeon. RNAcentral's name for it is "SSU rRNA". It matches the Rfam family "Archaeal small subunit ribosomal RNA", at positions 455 to 1354 of the family's 1478-position model. The record is from RNAcentral.
GUGCCAGCAGCCGCGGUAAUACCGGCAGCUCAAGUGGUCGUCGCUUUUAUUGGGCCUAAAACGUCCGUAGCCUGUUUGGUAAAUCUGUGGGUAAAUCAACCAGCUUAACUGGUUGAAUUCUGCAGAGACUGCCAGACUAGGGACCGGGAGAGGUGUGGGGUACUCUAGGGGUAGGGGUAAAAUCCUGUCAUCCUUAGAGGACCACCAGUUGCGAAGGCGCCACACUGGAACGGAUCCGACGGUCAGGGACGAAGCCUAGGGGCACGAACCGGAUUAGAUACCCGGGUAGUCCUAGGUGUAAACGCUGUGAACUUGGUGUCGGGGAUCCGUCAUGGGUCCCCGGUGCCGGAGUGAAGAUGUUAAGUUCACUGCCUGGGGAGUACGGUCGCAAGGCUGAAACUUAAAGGAAUUGGCGGGGGAGCACUGCAACGUGUGGAGCGUGCGGUUUAAUUGGAUUCAACGCCGGAAAACUCACCGGGGGCGACGGUUACAUGAAGGCCAAGCUGAUGACUUUGCCUGAUUUUCCGAGAGGUGGUGCAUGGCCGCCGUCAGUUCGUACCGUAAGGCGUUCUGUUAAGUCAGAUAACGAACGUGACCUCCGUCACCAUUUGCUAUCCUCUUCUCCGGAAGGGGAGCACUAUGGUGGUGCCGCCACUGUUAAAGUGGAGGAAGGAGGGGGCAACGGUAGGUCAGUAUGCCCCGAAUCUCCCGGGCUACACGCGCGCUACAAAGGGCAGGACAAUGGGCUUCGACACCGAAAGGUGAAGGUAAUCCUGAAACCUGCUCGUAAUUCGGAUUGAGGGCUGCAAUUCGCCCUCAUGAAGCUGGAAUACGUAGUAAUCGCGGGUCAACAUCCCGCGGUGAAUAUGCCCCUGCUCCUUGCACUCACCGCCCGUC